UAGGCCCUGAUUCGUGGACUAUGGC
Molecule: non-coding RNA, 25 nt
Filed under: Rattus norvegicus (Norway rat)
Lineage: Eukaryota; Metazoa; Chordata; Mammalia; Rodentia; Muridae
Source: RNAcentral